UGCCUCCUGCGAGGCACGAGUGGCCGAGACGAUUCCUGAACCAAUACUGUCUAUCCAGGGAGUCCCCAGUCAUCAUCGUGGUGUGCAGCUCCCUAGCGGAGUAGCCUGAAGCGAUGUGUGGAUUCCCACCUGUUCAUCAGGUUCUGGGGGUAGCGGGCCGCACGACCAUCGCGGGAGGUUU
This is a non-coding RNA of Acidithiobacillus thiooxidans, 181 nucleotides long. The record is from Rfam. NCBI's taxonomy places the organism in Bacteria, Pseudomonadati, Pseudomonadota, Acidithiobacillia, Acidithiobacillales, Acidithiobacillaceae.